GCGAGCCCCCGGCCCAGCCCCGUGGGAAGCUUCCUUUUCUCUGGGCCGCGCCUGGCGUGCGCCCGCGGUGACCCGGCGGCCUGCCCAGCCCUAAACCCUGCUCGGGGCUUUGGGGUCUCCUGCGGGAGCCUGCGCACUUCCCGGCCUCCUCCUCUGCGCGGAGGACUCGCCUGCAGGCUGCACCCUCCUGCCCUCUCCCUGGCUGUCCGGAUCCUUCCCGCCAGCCGUUUGCAUCAACUUUCCUGGAGAAUUCGGUCACAGUGUUCAGCAGGUCCUGAGCUUCCUCCCUGAGAAGGGCUCUCUGCCCUCGGUGUGGUCUCCCGGCUGCUGCGGGAGAGCACUCUGUUCUUUGGAAAAGUGGGUGUCCUCAGAUACAGAUAGCCUUGGAACUGUGUGAGCCGGGUGUGGUGGCGCCGGCUGUUAUCCCAGCACUCUAGGAGGCUGAGUCAGGAGGACCCCACGUUCAAGUCCAGUCUGGGCAACUCAGUGACUUGGUGAGACCCUGUCUCAAAUCUGAAGAUGUAGCUCAGAGCACAGCCCUGGGUUCCAUCCCCAGCACUGCCCAAAACAAACAGCCUCCAUCUGAUCUGUAGCCCGAGGGGGUCAGCUGGGCUGGAACUUCUGCAGCUCUGUUCAGUGCUGACCUGUGCUCCUGCAAGAGGCGCGAGUCCCUGGAGGCGUCAGGAGCCUCUCCAGGACGGAUGGGAAGCAGAGUGGGUUGAUUCGGCUCCCCGGGAGCUGGAGCGCAAGAGUGGGGUGAGGAGAGCGAGCGGCUCAUCUGUGCGCCAAGCUCAGCGCUUCCUCCCUGCCCAGCCGCUCUCCAGCCAUGCUUACUGCUCUGGGAGGGAAAAGAGGGUGGGAAACGGAGGCUGCGUGCCCUAGGGAGGACUUGCCGCGGCCAGGCCUGCCGCAGAGGAAUGCGUGCACCGCCCAGGCCCCGGCUUUGGGAGACCCCGUGGCAGCGCCGCUCUCUCCGCGGCCCGCAGGUGAUCAUCUUGGAGGACUACGCAGACCCUUACGAUGCCAGGCGCACAAAGGGGCAGAGGGACGCAGAGCGAGCCGGCGAGAACGACGGCUACAUGGAGCCCUACGACGCCCAGCAGAUGAUCACAGAGAUCAGGCGCCGAGGCUCCAAGGACCCCCUGGUGAAGGCCCUGCAGCUGCUGGAGGGGCCCGGCGAGUCCGGGGAGAUNNNNNNNNNNNNNNNNNNNNNNNNNNNNNNNNNNNNNNNNNNNNNNNNNNNNNNNNNNNNNNNNNNNNNNNNNNNNNNNNNNNNNNNNNNNNNNNNNNNNNNNNNCGGGAGCCGCUGCCUGAGGGAGACGGGAGGCCGGCAGCGGAGUACGAGCAGCCCUGGGAGUGGAAGAAGGAGCCGCUGGCGCGCGCGCUCUCCGGUGAGCACCUCCCCAGCCCCCACGCAGGCCCCUGCAACGCCCAUCUGUCUGUCUGUCUGUCUGUCUGUCGCCUGUCAUGCUGCCAGUGCAAUCUAGACACCCUGCUUUAUCCCGGCCUGCCUGGCACACGCAGGAGCCCAGUGCUGGAGGCUGAGGCAGGAGGAUCGCCAUGAGUUCAAGACCAGAUGGGGCUACAUAAAAAGCCCCUGUCUUGAAAACAUACAAACUCCUCCUAAAGGAAUCAGUUCCUCGAGUAUGAAUUUAUUUUUAUUUUUUUGACCCGAGGCCUCACCAGGUUCUCCAGGCUCCGUGACCUCCCAGAGUUGCCCCUGGGUGGCUGGGAUUCGAGAUGUGGCUGGCCAGGCCCUGCUGUGGUAACUCAGGGGAAAGUCAGUCGUCAGUGUACAUCACAGACGGCCACCUAGCUCCUCUGCCUGGCUGACCGCCUAAUGUCUUUUGUCCUUGGUGCGAAAUUUUAGGGACAUCUUUUCCCUCUGUGGUAACUGCAGGUGGGCAGUGAGUGUGAGGCGGUAUGCGGGGGCAGAGGAGCCCUGGGCUGCGCCCGGGGACAGCGGAGCUGCGACCGUGCUGCCCUCAGCCACCUGCCCAGCUCUGCCUCACAGCACCCCAGGGCUCCCUGCCGUGGCUUCUCUCUGGUUUUGUCCAUUUUUUAUUUUAUUGGUUCUUUUUCUUUUAUUCUUUUUUCUGUUUGUUGGCUGGUUGGCUGGUCUUUUGGAUUUUUGAGACAGGGUCUGGCUGUGUGUUCGCGGCUGCCCUCGAACUCAAGCUGCCUCAGUCUCCCAGAUGCUGGGUCACAGGUACGCACCACCACGCCUGGCCAUUUAUUUAUCUCACAGAAGAGCUGUUCACUUGUUUUCAUAGAAAGAUACAAACUCUUGUAAGGAAUCAUUACACAUAACUGUAUUUAGUCUGUAUUCUAGAAAUACUAAAGCUGAAGCAGGCAUGGCGGUGUACACCUGUAGUUCCGGAACUCGGGAGGCUGAGGCAGGAAGAUCACUGAGUUUCAAGCCAGCCUGAACCAUAUAGCAAGACUCUGUCUCAAAACACAAAACAAAGUAAUGAACAUGCUAAAGCUAAGAGUUCUUUUCAAAGUCCAUUCUGAAGCAGGGCGUAGUGGCAUGCACCUGUAAGGCUGCGGACCUGGGCGGCCCAGGCAGGGGGACCCCAAGUUCAAGGCUGGGGCGUGGCUUGGUCAGAGGUGCCAGGGCUCCCAGCACGGGGCGGGUGCUCCGUGGUCCCACGCAUCCCGGCCUGUGGAGGACCCGUGCCCUCCCGGCCGGGGCACAGUGGCUGCUCCUCCACGUUUGCGGCCUUGGAAGGAAGACGACCGGCCGGGUUGUGGGCCGAGUCGUGUUGCAGCAGCUCCGCCACACACCGCGCUCUGAGACGCACCCGCUUCCAGUCCAGCUCGAAGGAGCCGAGCGCCCGGCCAAGGAGG
This 2850-nucleotide long non-coding RNA is filed under the name Fukomys damarensis (Damara mole-rat). RNAcentral's name for it is "lncRNA (ENSFDAG00000027743.1)". Lineage: Eukaryota; Metazoa; Chordata; Mammalia; Rodentia; Bathyergidae. The record is from RNAcentral.